CCUACGGGUGGCUGCAGUGGGGAAUAUUGCACAAUGGGGGAAACCCUGAUGCAGCGACGCCGCGUGAGUGAAGAAGUACUUCGUUACGUAAAGCUCUAUCAGCAGGGAAGAAACACUGACCUUACGGUCAGCAGACGGUACCUGAUUAAGAAGCCCCGGCUAACUACGUGCCAGCAGCCGCGGUAAUACGUAGGGGGCACGCGUUAUCCGGAUUUACUGGGUGUAAAGGGAGCGUAGACGGUGCGCCAAGUCUGGAGUGAAAUGCCGCAGCUUAACUGCGGAACUGCUUUGGAAACUGGCGAACGAGAGGGCGGGAGUGGUAAGCGGAAUGCGUGGUGUAGCGGUGAAAUGCGUAGAUAUUAGGAGGAACACCGGUGGCGAAGGCGGCUUACUGGACCGUAACUGACGUUGAGGCUCGAAAGCGUGGGGAGCAAACAGGAUUAGAUACCCUAGUAGUC
RNAcentral lists this ribosomal RNA (458 nucleotides) under uncultured bacterium. RNAcentral's name for it is "partial 16S ribosomal RNA". It matches the Rfam family "Bacterial small subunit ribosomal RNA", at positions 338 to 795 of the family's 1533-position model. The record is from RNAcentral.